GUACGUGAGGGCGAUCUGGCUGCGACAUCUGUCACCCCAUUGAUGGCCAGGGUUGAUUUGGCUGAUCUGGCUGGCUAGACGGGUGUCCCCUUCCUCCCUCGCCGCUCUAUGUGCGUCCCUCCCGAAGCUGAGUGCUCGGUCGAAGAGGACGACCUUCCCUGAAUAGAAGAGGACCGGUCUUCUGUCAAGGGUAUAGGAGUAGCUGCGCUCCCCUCCUAGAACCUCCAAACAUGCUCUCAAGGCCAUAUACUUUCUAAAAUAAGUAUGCUAGAUUAUAUUGUGGUCCAAGAAUAAUUGAGGAUGAAUGUGACCAGUUAGUCACUAGUGAUAAAAUCCUU
RNAcentral lists this small nuclear RNA (338 nucleotides) under Jaculus jaculus (lesser Egyptian jerboa). RNAcentral's name for it is "7SK RNA (ENSJJAG00000006953.1)". The stretch from base 1 to 296 matches the Rfam family "7SK RNA". From Rfam's summary of the family: 7SK was discovered as an abundant small nuclear RNA in the mid-70s but a possible function has only recently been suggested. Two independent studies have found that 7SK RNA binds the CDK9/cyclin T complex (known as elongation factor P-TEFb). P-TEFb activates transcription by phosphorylating the C-terminal domain of RNA polymerase II. The record is from RNAcentral. Lineage: Eukaryota; Metazoa; Chordata; Mammalia; Rodentia; Dipodidae.